This is a long non-coding RNA of Gymnodraco acuticeps, 1277 nucleotides long. RefSeq lists it as uncharacterized. Lineage: Eukaryota; Metazoa; Chordata; Actinopteri; Perciformes; Bathydraconidae. The record is from RefSeq and is a predicted model, not a curated record. The transcript is spliced from 5 exons.
CUUCAGGCGAGCUGUUUGAGACCUCCCCUGGCUGCGAUCGGCUAUUCUCGUCUACUUUCGAGGCGAGCCGCAACAUGUUGUCUGUCCUCAGCAACUACAAGGCUUAAUAGAAGACUUGUCCCUACCAGUGUCGGCCAUAGCAACACUUCUGGGUGUAUCUAAGAAGACAGUCAAAAGGCGCAUGCAUGAAAAUGGCCUUUCCAUAAAACGGUCCUACAGUACCCUAACUGAUGAUGAACUAGACAAUUUGGUUCGGUCAGUUAAGGCCAGGACACCACAUGUAGGAUAUCGAAUGAUGAAAGGAAUCCUGAACAAUGGCUCGCUGUGUGCAAUGGAAGAGAGUGUCUUCAUCAAUGCAUCGUGUUGAUUCUGUGGGUGUACUCACAAGAAUGGCAAGGAUGGGGUGUGUUGCAAGAAGGACAUUCUGUUCAGGGUCCUCUGCACUUGGUACACAUGGACACAAAUCAUAAACUCAUCAGAUCAUGUACCUGGGUGCUGCCACUAAUAAUAAAGCAUUGACUUCACUUGACUUCUUCUUAGAGGGUGUGCAAAAGUAUGGCUUUCCAUUAAGAGUAAGAGCCGACCAAGGAGUGGAAAAUGUUGACUAUAAGGGGCUGUGGAAGGGGAAGCUUCCUGUCAGGGAAAAGUGUGCACAAUCAAAAGAAUCGAACGUUUGUGGCGAGAUGUUUGGAUGGCUGUUUCAAACGUGCACUACGAGGUUCUUCACAGCCUCGAGGAUGAGGGUGUUCUAGAUCCUUCUGAUAGCAUCCACAUGUUCUGUGCCCAGCAUGUAUUUCUUCCGCGUCUUCAGAGGGAUCUCAAUGUCUUCAGGAUGGGUUGGGAUAAUCAGCCUCUAAGGACAGAGCUAAAUGUGUCCCCACACCAACUGUGGACAAUGGGACUCCUCCAUAAUCCUAUUGAUGUUCCAGACCUUGCAGAGUGACUGUAUGGAUAAUCGGAGACAGCUAUGUCCGGCGUGGAGCCCAGAGAGCUACAGAGACCAUCGGCAGCAACCUUGGCCUUGACCUGAGGGUGUGCUGGUUCGGUUGGGGUGGACUGCGCUGGAGAGGUGUCCUCCCCUUCUUUUCCAACUCCCUGCGAGGAAGAGCAGCCCCGGAGGUCCUCCUCAUCCACUGUGGCGGCAACGACUUGGGGGAUGUGCCCAAUGUUCAGUUGCUGAACAAGAUGAAGGAGGACCUGCACCAGCUUCACCAUCGGCACCCUGGCAUGAAGAUCAUGCUCUCCCAGAUAAACCAAAAAUAAAUAAAUGACAUUCA